Molecule: ribosomal RNA, 380 nt
Filed under: uncultured eukaryote
Lineage: Eukaryota
Description: SSU rRNA
Rfam family: Eukaryotic small subunit ribosomal RNA
Source: RNAcentral
AGCUCCAAUAGCGUAUAUUAAUGUUGUUGCAGUUAAAAAGCUCGUAGCCGACUCUCGGGGCUGUCGCAACGGUCCGCAGAAAUGUGAGCACUGUUGCGGCCGCCUCUUCCUUCUGGACACCAUGUCUUCUCUUUACUGAGCGGAUGUGGGGGCCAGAUCGUUCACUUUGAACAAAUUAGAGUGUUCAAAGCAGGCCUCCGCCUGAAUACUUGAGCAUGGAAUGAUAUCAAUAGGUUCUUCCUUCUCGUUUAUUGGUGAUGAGAAGGAAGAAAAUGAGAAAGGGGAAUGGUUGGGGCCAUUCGUACUGCAGCGUUAGAGGUGAAAUUCUUGGAUCGCUGCAAGACGAACAACAGCGAAAGCAUUUGGCAAGAACGUUUCCA